CCUACGGGGGGCAGCAGUGGGGAAUAUUGGACAAUGGGGGCAACCCUGAUCCAGCCAUGCCGCGGGUGUGAAGAAGGCCCUCGGGUUGUAAAGCACUUUCAGUGAGGAAGAACGCCUGGUGGUUAAUACCCAUCAGGAAAGACAUCACUCACAGAAGAAGCACCGGCUAACUCCGUGCCAGCAGCCGCGGUAAUACGGAGGGUGCGAGCGUUAAUCGGAAUUACUGGGCGUAAAGCGCGCGUAGGUGGCUUGAUAAGCCGGUUGUGAAAGCCCCGGGCUCAACCUGGGAACGGCAUCCGGAACUGUCAAGCUAGAGUGCAGGAGAGGAAGGUAGAAUUCCCGGUGUAGCGGUGAAAUGCGUAGAGAUCGGGAGGAAUACCAGUGGCGAAGGCGGCCUUCUGGACUGACACUGACACUGAGGUGCGAAAGCGUGGGUAGCAAACAGGAUUAGAUACCCGAGUAGUC
RNAcentral lists this ribosomal RNA (465 nucleotides) under Vreelandella stevensii. RNAcentral describes it as "partial 16S ribosomal RNA". It matches the Rfam family "Bacterial small subunit ribosomal RNA", at positions 338 to 795 of the family's 1533-position model. Lineage: Bacteria; Pseudomonadati; Pseudomonadota; Gammaproteobacteria; Oceanospirillales; Halomonadaceae. The record is from RNAcentral.